GAUGAACGCUGGCGGCGUGCCUAAUACAUGCAAGUCGAGCGAACAGAUAAGGAGCUUGCUCCUUUGACGUUAGCGGCGGACGGGUGAGUAACACGUGGGUAACCUACCUAUAAGACUGGAAUAACUCCGGGAAACCGGGGCUAAUGCCGGAUAACAUUUAGAACCGCAUGGUUCUAAAGUGAAAGAUGGUUUUGCUAUCACUUAUAGAUGGACCCGCGCCGUAUUAGCUAGUUGGUAAGGUAACGGCUUACCAAGGCAACGAUACGUAGCCGACCUGAGAGGGGGCAGGGCCACACGGGAGCGGAGACGGGGCCAAGACUCAGGCGGGAGGCGGAAGUAGGGAAUCGGCCGGAGUGGGGGAAAGCCUGAGGGAGCAAGGCGGAGUGAGUGAUGAAGGUGUUCGGAUCGUAAAACUGUUUUAUUGGGGAAAAAAAAAUGUGUAAGGAAAGGUGCACGUCUUGACGGUACCUAAGAAGAAAGCCACGGCUAACUACGUG
RNAcentral lists this ribosomal RNA (497 nucleotides) under uncultured bacterium. RNAcentral describes it as "partial 16S ribosomal RNA". It matches the Rfam family "Bacterial small subunit ribosomal RNA", at positions 28 to 507 of the family's 1533-position model. The record is from RNAcentral.